UUCUGACCGUAAACGAUGCCAACUAGCGAUCCGCCGGCGGCUACCAGGCCCUGGUGGGGAGCUUCCCGGAAACGAAAGUCUUCCGGUUCCGGGGGAAGUAUGGUUGCAAAGCUGAAACUUAAAGGAAUUGACGGAAGGGCACCACCAGGAGUGGAGCCUGCGGCUUAAUUUGACUCAACACGGGAAAACUCACCCGGCCCGGACACCGUAAGGAUUGACAGAUUGAUAGCUUUUUCAUGAUUCGGUGGUUGGUGGUGCAUGGCCGUUCUUAGUUCGUGGAUCGAUUUGUCUGGUUUAUUCCGAUAACGAGCGAGACUCCAGCCUACUAACUAGUACGAGCAUUGCCUCUGUGCUCGGCACUUCUUAGAGGGAUUGGCUGCGUCUAGCGGCACGAAACGGAGCAAUAACAGGUCUGUGAUGCCCUUAGAUGUCCGGGGCUGCACGCGCGCUACACUGGCAAAGGCAACGUGCUUGUCCGUCUCCGAAAGGAGCCGGUAAACCCUUGAAAAUUUGCCGUGAUUGGGAUCGGAAAUUGCAAUUAUUUUCCGUGAACGAGGAAUUCCUAGUAAGUGCGAGUCAUCAGCUCGCGUUG
This 592-nucleotide ribosomal RNA is filed under the name Mesocriconema sp. N17. RNAcentral's name for it is "SSU rRNA". It matches the Rfam family "Eukaryotic small subunit ribosomal RNA", at positions 1024 to 1643 of the family's 1831-position model. Lineage: Eukaryota; Metazoa; Nematoda; Chromadorea; Rhabditida; Criconematidae. The record is from RNAcentral.